AAUAUCACCCACCCUUCUUUCCCUCCCUUCAAUCACAUAAACACCCUUUUCACAUUUUCUCUUCUUCUAUUCAUUUCUUCAACUUUCCCACCAUUUUCUCACUUCAUUUUCCUCCAAAACAUCGUUUGGAAAUGAGGACCGUGAGGUUUUUGGCCCUCCCAAUUAUCACUUUGAUGUUCAUUGCAAUUUCUCAUAUGGGUCAUGCUCAGGAUUUGGCUCUUUCUCCAUCACCUCCUCCUACAAGUGAUGGCACUGCAAUUGAUCAAGGAAUUGGUUACAUUCUCAUGUUGGUGGCUCUUGCAAUCACAUACAUGAUUCAUUAAUUUUUAUUCAUCUUACUACUAUUAUGAUGCCCGGAUCAAAGAAAAUUUCAGGAUUUUUUUUGUACUGUAAUUAUUAUUGAUUAUUAAUGAAAUUUAUUCUUAUUCUUACACA
Cajanus cajan (pigeon pea) is the source of this 435-nucleotide long non-coding RNA. RefSeq lists it as uncharacterized. The record is from RefSeq and is a predicted model, not a curated record. NCBI's taxonomy places the organism in Eukaryota, Viridiplantae, Streptophyta, Magnoliopsida, Fabales, Fabaceae.